GUAUGUAAUUUAUAAAUAGCUAGAUAUUAUAUCCAUUUUACAGUUGAGAAAAUGGAGAUAGCUUAAGUGACUUGCUCAGGAUAACGCAGCUGGUAAAUGUCUGAAGUCAGUUUUAUUCUCAGGUUUUUUGGACUCUAGGCCAAAUGCUCUGGAAAAUAAAAGAAAUUAAAAAUUUUGAGACACUCGGUGGAGUAAUGCUUGCUUGACAGACAAGUAAAGGCUCAUUUUACAGGUGAGGAAACAGAGGCAGACUGGAUUAAGUGAUUUAUCCAGGAUCACACAGCUAGAUCCUUCUAAGGAUGCCAUUGGAAACCAAGAACUGUUGAACCACGAAGGAGAAGGAGCAGGUCAUGCUAUUUCUGCCAUUCCCCAACUCUCUUCCACUUAGCCCUGAAAGGACCUCAGACAUUAAUCAUGGAGCAAUGGAUGAUUGAUAUGGCUGUACCCUGAUUAGAAAAGGGUUCAUUUUACUUGCACAUGGUACAUGGAAUUAGUUAAGGGUUGCACAGGAAAGGGAGCGAUGGACCAUUGUUCACAUUAAAUUAUAA
This 548-nucleotide long non-coding RNA is filed under the name Sarcophilus harrisii (Tasmanian devil). RNAcentral describes it as "lncRNA (ENSSHAG00000030961.1)". The record is from RNAcentral. Lineage: Eukaryota; Metazoa; Chordata; Mammalia; Dasyuromorphia; Dasyuridae.